This 274-nucleotide ribosomal RNA is filed under the name uncultured bacterium. RNAcentral's name for it is "partial 16S ribosomal RNA". It matches the Rfam family "Archaeal small subunit ribosomal RNA", at positions 473 to 747 of the family's 1478-position model. The record is from RNAcentral.
AAACCAGCACCUCAAGUGGUCAGGAUGAUUAUUGGGCCUAAAGCAUCCGUAGCCGGCUCUGUAAGUUUUCGGUUAAAUCUGUACGCUCAACGUACAGGCUGCCGGAAAUACUGCAGAGCUAGGGUGUGGGAGAGGUAGACGGUACUCGGGAGGAAGGGGUAAAAUCCUUUGAUCUUUCGAUGACCACCUGUGGCGAAGACGGUCUAUCAGAACACGUCCGACGGUGAGGGAUGAAAGCUGGGGGAGCAAACCGGAUUAGAAACCCGGGUAGUCC